Molecule: ribosomal RNA, 1150 nt
Filed under: Achirus lineatus (lined sole)
Lineage: Eukaryota; Metazoa; Chordata; Actinopteri; Pleuronectiformes; Achiridae
Description: partial 16S ribosomal RNA
Rfam family: Bacterial large subunit ribosomal RNA
Source: RNAcentral
GCAAAAAGAAUUUUAGUUUGACACCCCGAAACCGAGCGAGCUACUCCAGGCCAGCCUAUAUAAAUAGGGCGAACCCAUCUCUGUGGCAAAAGAGUGGGAAGAGCCUCGAGUAGAGGUGAAAGACCUACCGAGCCCGGCUAUAGCUGGUUGCCUGAGAACUGAAUAGAAGUUCAGCCUCCCGGAUUCUUCCCAACCCGAGAGAGUUAGUCAAAAGGGGGAUAGCCCUUUUGACACAAGAUACAACUUUACUAGGAGGGAACUGAUCAUAAUUUAUUAAGGGAUAAUAAUCCAAGUGGGCCUAAAAGCAGCCAUCUUAAUAGAAAGCGUCUAAGCUCAAACACUCAAAUUCAGACAAUAACUCACAGCCCCCUAAAAAUAUCAGGCCCUCUCGUGCCCACACAAGAGAGACCAUGCUACUACGAGUAAUAAGAGAACCUUCUCUCCUAGCACAUGUGUAAAUCGGACUGGACCCCCCACCGAAACUUAACGGUCCCAAAUAAAGAGGGUAGUAAAAAAAGACUAGAAAACCACUUACCGUUAACCCCACACUGGCGUGCCCCCAAGGAAAGACUAAAAGAAAAAGAAGGAACUCGGCAAACAAGCCUCGCCUGUUUACCAAAAACAUCGCCUCUUGCAAGAAUAAGAGGUCCCGCCUGCCCACUGAUCCCAGAUUCAACGGCCGCGGUAUUUUGACCGUGCUAAGGUAGCGUAAUCACUUGUCUUUUAAAUGAAGACCCGUAUGAAAGGCUUAACGAGGGCUUAACUGUCUCCUUUUUCCAGUCAAUGAAACUGAUCUCCCCGUGCAGACGCGGGGAUUAAAACAUAAGACGAGAAGACCCUAUGGAGCUUUAGACACCAAGGCAGCCUAUUUUAAAUAACCCUAAACAAGCAACAAAUCUAUUAGUAAACCUGCCUCAGUCUUAGGUUGGGGCGACCCUGGGGAAACACAAAACCCCCAUGUGGAGAGGGGGGACCCCUAAAAACUCGAAACACAAUUCUAAUCAACAGAACCUCUGACCAAAUUGAUCCGGCCCAAGCCGAUUAACGAAACAAGUUACCCUAGGGAUAACAGCGCUAUCCCCUUUUAAAGUCCAUAUAGACAAGGGGGCUUACGACCUCGAUGUUGGAUCAGGACAUCCUAAUGGUGCAG